GAGCACCGUAGCGGGUGCCUGUUGCUCCAGCUUGGGAGGGCUAAAGAGUUGGUUGGAGGGCGAGUUUGCUCGAGCCCAUGUCAAUGCCGGCCCACCGAAAGGCAUGUGGUGCGCAGUCCCCGCCCGGACGUCAGAGAAAAAGGUGCCAGCGCGGCGCAGAGAAAAGAAGAAACAGAGCCCACAGCUGCUGUUGUUGUGAGGUGCUGCGGGUCCUGGGCCCGGCGCCAAGGUGCGCUGUCCGUCGUUGUUGGGUGCAGCCCUGUGUAGGCCACAAGGAGUUGUGAGCCGGGCUGACCUGUGUUGAAGAGGCCCGUUAGGAAGAACGGGUGCUCUUGUUGGGCCGUUGUCACUGCGAGGAGGCAGUCCGGCCGGUCGACGAGAAAAGCACUUGGGCCGUUGUUGAAGGAGGCAGACCAAGACCACAUCAGAGGUGUUGGUGGUGCGCGCGCGCGCACGUAGUUGGGCCAUCGCCGGAGGGGGAUAUUGCCCUCCGGCGGGUCGUCGCUGUGGUAAAAAGUUGUUCGAUGCUCUGGGGGGAUUCGUCGUGGGCUGCUGAAUAGGGGGUGUGGCAUUGGCCCGGGAGGCCGGCAAAUGCCGGCGGGUUAAUUGGGUCCGGGGGUUCGCCCCUCGGCCCGAAGCCCCUUGAUCUCGCCGAGCUGGGCUUCCACGGAGUUAGAGCGGCAAAGGGGUUGAGCCAACCCUCAGUCCGAGGGUUGUCGCCGGGCUGUGCGCGCCACACGCGCAGCCCGCUUCGUGGAGCGUGGGCUCGCAAACUAUAUCCCCUCCUACCAACUCUUUUGUUCUUCUGUUUUUUUUUUCUGAAAAGGAUAUAAUUCUGAACAGUGGCUUCUAUUUUCUUUGGUACUGCUUUGUACUGUAUGUGAAUUAGAUCACUAUUGGUUUACAAUAAACAAGUUAGUACUCCUUCAAAAGAGGCUGAUCAUUGCCGUUGAUGGGCCGGCCUCAUCAGCAAUAGCUGGCGGGGGUCCUGUGUUUGUUGGCCGUUGUGACAUGGUGCAUAACUAGUUUGUUGCAGUGCAAGUACGAACCAUGCGGACAGCCGAGAAGCGAGAGCUUCAUCAGGUGCCACUAGUGUCUGAUGGCAUUAAGGGGUUGGUGCGAUAAUCUCCCAUUUCACCAAGUUAGGUACGAUAAUGUCUCAUUUCACCAAGUUAAAUAAAAUAUAUAAAAUUUUAGCUAAGAAAUACACUUAUAACUGAAUUGACACUAGCUAAGCUAUGACAGUUGCAGGCAUUGGUAAGCUACCGUAGUUCUAUCGAGUCCUCUUCUCUGUUCAGCCUCCAAGCCACAUUUUUGGUCGUAUAUAUACAGUCAGUAUAUGUACUGUCAGUGCACAACAGCCAGUAGGCAGGUACAAAAAGAGCCGUGAGCGACAUGCCCACAAGAAGAUUAGCGAAAGCGCGCGCAGACUAAAUGCAUUCUCGCACUCUGUCUCUGCAAACCAAGCGCUCCGUUUUAGUCCCAUACCGCUAGUCACAUUCUGAGCAACCCAGCUUAAGAAGCCACACCUCCCCGGGGGCAGCCGCCGAGCUCGGUCGCGCGAGCCUGUCACUCUAGUCAGCUGGAGGGCUAAAGAGUUGGUGUGGUGAAAUGGCUCUGGCCCCGGCCCAAAAACGGGUUCGGCCUCUGCCUGGGUUGUGAGUUCUUGAGCCUAGGAAAUUGGCGAGGUCCAUCCGUCCUUUGAACGGUAGGGCAAAGCCGAAUCGUUGGACGCUUCGGCAUAAGAGAACGGUCGGCCCAACGGGGUUGCCGGAGCCCAAGCUGCGUCUCGUCAUGUGUCCAUCCGGGUGGUCAAGGGAGGCAACAACCCACUCCCUGAUCUUUCCCAUUAAGGUAAUCGGGACUCGCAUGGACACUCCCUGGCUCACUCACUAACCCCUCCCAUCAACUCUUUUCCUUUUCUUACUUUUGUCCUAACGUUCGAUGGCAGUUUUAUCAUUGAUAUAAUCGUUUUGGGCUAGGCCUAAAUUAAUCUGUCUGGAUGUUUUCAGAAAUGCACUGCUCUUUCAGGUUCAGUGCAACAAUCAGCAGUCUUGCAUGCUAUACUGUGUUGUAUAUUUAUCCUGUGCUACACUCACAUCUUUCGUUAGUUAAUUUAAGGUUUGCGAACUUCAAAGAUGAUUGCUCAAGGUAUAAAGCACAGAAUUUGAACUUUGUUCAGGUUCUGCCUUUUUGGUUUUCGAAACACACCUAAUAUUUACAUGCAUCUCUACAUAGAGAUGAUAGUUUUUAUUUUGUACCUGAAAUCACACAAAAAGGAAACAUAUAUUUUCCUGGGCACCCCAAAAAUAAAACCUUUAAUAUCCACUCAAAAAAAACAUGGUUCUUAGUCUAAGGCUACACCUGCUGAUUAUCCAGAUAGUUGGAUUUUGUAUAGUUGUUAUGAAUCACGACUUGAUCAUUAUAAUCCGCGCGCACUGAUACACUUCUUUUUAAACCUCUAAGGUCAGUCUCAGUGGAAGUUUCAUCUGAGUUUCAUUCACAUUAAAUAGGUUGCCACAUAUGCAUUUUCGAUGGCAUGCAGUGUAUUUAAGAAGAGAGAAGAAAUGAGUUUCAUCUAGAUGAACACGAUUAUCUUCUCUAUGAGUCUUGAAUAUGAAACCAUAGAAUGAAACUCUCCAUUGAGAGUGGGUAUUUCAUCCAAGUUUCAUUUCAUUUCACAUAACAUGGCAAUCUUGGAAAUAACACUAUGAAACUCUUCACUGAGAUUGGCCUAAUAUAUUUCAGUAUCCUAUGACUUUUCUUAUGUAGGGCCUGUUUAGUUUCUCAUUUGGGCCAAAAAAAUUAUAUUUUGGUCCACCAUUAUGCUGAAUGGAACUAAACAACAUCCAAAUUUUUUGGCAAAAUGAUUUUACCAUUUUGCAUUCUAGAUUUUAGCCUCGAAAGCCCUCCAAAAAAAAGCCAAAAUAGCAGCUUAAUGUAUUUUAGACCCUGAAAAUUUUGAUAUUUUGGAUGAAGCUAAACAUACACAUGAAAAAAUUGACAUUUUGCAUUUCAUCAUUUCAAAAUACUUGGUAUUUUGUAUUUUGCAUUUCAUGAGGAACUAAACACACCCAUAUUGUGGUUUCCUUUACCUAAAGUAUUGUUCAGAUGCUAACAUACAGUAGUUGUGGGGCAUUCCCACCACCAAGAUUUUACUCAACAGUGUAAUGCUUACCAGUUACCAGAAACACAAACAGAACGGAGGACAUGAGACGGAAAACAACGAUUCAGAAAACUAGGCUACACGAUGCAGUACAUGGUUGUAUGUUACUGUCCUUGUUAGCUAACAUAUAUACCUAUCCAAUCUGCGCUUUGCAAGUUGAACAGCGGUAGUGUACUCAUUGAUACUGCGGUGCCAUCUAGUUCUUGCCUGCUCAAGGCGUGGUCUGUGGUAUAGGAUCCUGGUCAGUGUGAAAUCCAGCUUAGCUGGACCAUAUCUUGGUUUGUCCUCCGCAUCUCACAGUUAUUCCUUUUUGCUUUUCUUACUGGACUUAGUAAAGUUUGACAAGCAGGUGAUUGCUAGAAGCACCACAGCAACGGCAAAAACUGCAGGGAAAAAAAAUAGGGGAAUUACGAAGAUAUCCAAAGGUCCAACGCAAAACAUCUACAAGGGGGAGGAGCAACAAUGUAGAUUUAUAUAUAUGGUUAGAAUGAUUGAGAUGGAUGUGAGUAGCAUACCAGCUAUGGUGACAAAUAACAUCAGAGCAAGCCGGUAUCGUAUUAGCCAUGGGAGCUCUGUUUCGAGAGUACAGUGACGUUGGAAUGUAUGUGGUUGUCUUUUGAUUGCGUGCACACCCGAGGGCUGCAGUUCAGAUAUAGGGAACUCUACACUGUGAACAGAACGACCCUCAACAUCUUUUAGUUCAAGUUUAAUCCGGGGAGGUACAGCAUUCCAAUCAAUUUCAAUUGCUCCGAAAUUUGGUAGGCCUGCAACAGCAAAACACAAAUGAUUUAACAGUACAAGUAUAACCAAAACUUCGCUAAAAAAAAGUAUAACCAAAAAAGAACACAGAAGGAAAUAAGAUAAGCAUAGAGAAAUCUUAGCAAUGCCUUAAGAUGUCGUAUGAUCACAUUUUACAGUAUAAAUGAACCGCAUUUUUUUGGAGAGUUUUAAUUUUGUCCAGAAUCAACAGCUUACUGGUUCAAAAAGAACAGAAAGGACCUCUUGAUCUUAAAAAACUAAGAAAUUCAGUAAACCAAAACAAGCUAUCCGACACUGAUGGAUUCAUACUUAAAAGGUUCUACCCAAGAAAGAGUUGUACCUGUUGUGCAUGAUUUAUACAGGCAAUUUGGGCUCAAAACUCGCAUGGUAGUUGGUGUUAGUACUGCUAGAAGUCUCAUAAGAGGUUGAAAUACUUCUGGCACAGCGUUGUCGACAGACUGGGUAAGACCACUCGAAGUAACAUCGUACGACGGGUAUUGAGCUCCACAGUCGAAUCUGGUGAUUUCUCCGAAAUGGACAUCCCCACUAAUAAAUAUCACUCCAGGUCUCUGCAAAUAGUCACACAGUCCAUAGAUGUUUCAUAAGAGUAAUGAACACAUAAACAUCUGGUAUCAUGGUAUCUUCUAGAAGACUCAGGAUUCCUCAAAAGUUAAUUGAAGGAGAUAUGCUAGCAACUAGUGCAUUUUAUUAUUUACGGAAACGCUUAGACCCUGAAUAAUAGCUUGUCCACAGGAGUAAUAGUAACCAACCUUACUACUAUCAAUCAAUCUGAACAGCCUUUCUCUCUCCCUUGGGAAGCGUGCCCAGGACUCCACAUAGAACAAAGGCCCAAUAGUAGCUGAAAGAUUAGACACUACCUGUACAUUGGAACAUAGCUAUUAUACAAAUGGAAGUUACAAUGCAUAUAGCAUAUAAAAAAAUGAAAGAAAAUGCAAUUGCUUAUUAUAGUGAAAGCAUUAAGACAUAAAAUAUAGAGUGAUGAAUCAGUAGGAUAUUCUCUGCCCAUUGAAGAGCUGCCAAAUAGGUGAAUGUAUUAUUCAAAUUCCGUUACCAAAUACAAUCACAUGUAUCAUCUGUUUUAUUUGAGGGAAAAACAGCCUACCAAAUAAUACCAGAUAUUUUAUACUAUCACUAAAUAAAACUUCUGGUAAGGUGCAUUUCCGUAUACAGAUCUCUGACAUUGUAAAAGUUUGUGAAGUUUUUUCAAAACUUCUAUGCAGCCCAUUAGUGGGAAACUAAGGUGGCUUUUGCUGUGAAAACUUGUGGUAUAUGAUUUCUACCUGACCAUCUUUGGUUCCUGGCUAGAUUAGUUUUUGAUUUUUUGAAGUACAGUUUUUUAAGUUUUCAACAAGUAUAUAUAUACGUGGUUACUUCUCCAAGUAUAUAUAUACGUGAAAUAAUAGGUUUACCUGGAUCGAAGAUCCAAUGAUGGUGAUCUCUGAUUGAGGACCAUGAAGCUCCCUCUCUAGCCACUGCCACUGGGGAUCUCCCAGAAUAGUUCCAUCACUUAAUAGCGGGUCUCUGUGAUAUCUGGUAUCCAGCAAGAUUACCUGCAAUACAUUGCUGUUACCUUUAAUUCAAAAUUGAUAAUAAAAUACAAUUUACUACAGAAGGGGCAAAGGCACUAGUUCAUAUUUCUUUUUAUUUAGCCCGGAUGGAUGACCAUUCUAGACCUUAUACCAGCUUUAUGCCCAGUACCACCUGUGGAUACUUGCAACGGCUACUGGGAUGAUGAUUUACAUUGAUUGGGACAUGCAAAGAUGUAACAUAUGUGUAUGUUGUAGGGAUGUACUAAACUUAAUAGGGCAAUAUCCGAUGUAAAUUGGAUAAAUAUCAAAUAUCCAUAAAAAUUAAAGAUGUAACAUAUGCGUAUGUUGCGAUGUACUAAACUUAAUAGGCCAAUAUCUGGUGUAAAUUGGAUAAAUAUCAAAUAUCCAUAAAAUUUUUAUGUGAAGUUCUCAAAGUUUACAUAUAUAAGAGGAGAACAUGCUCUAUAUCACUCAAAAAUUUGAACCUAAGGCUACCAGAUAUCAAAGGGGGAAACAGUAUAGCAAUGUGUCGCACUGUUCAUAACUGUUUUUUGGUUUACAAGAAAUAUGCAUUUUUUGUCUUUGUAUCCUGCAAACAUAAUUGACCUUGAUCUUUAAUUUUGCCCAUUAUCUAUUGUUGAACACACACUUUCCUAUUGUUUUUAUCUUGAGAAUCUCUAAAAUACAAAGCAAUGAAUGGAUUCAAAUUCACAAAGUAGCAAGUUAUUGAGAACUUGGACAUCAUUAAAUACAAAGGAUCAAUUGCUGUGAAAAUUUUGCAUUCAAUGAACAAAUAACGAAGCCAAAACAGAGCUAAGGAUAAUCAGAAGAGAUACAUGAUCCAUUUUGUGAAUUUGUUUUGAAGGAAAUUUUACUAGACUCAUAAUAAUGAAAAAAAAAGGAGAACAUAGCAAAGACUUAAAGAAUCACUGCAUCAUGAGUACGAUGAUGUGUUAUAUCACCCUAUUUGAAAAAGAAAUUAGAUAAACCUUCUCUAGUUAACAGCAAAAUUGAACAUAACAUAAGAGAGACUAAACCUUCACACGUUUUCCUUCAGGGCCAAACAUGUACGAGGCAUAAACACCAGCUUGCUUCCUCCUAAACAAACAACAAUAGAGUAUUAAAUUAUCAGGCAGGGAGAUUUCUUCCCUUGUUGACCGUUAAAAAAUGAAUAAGAUUAUUAUGAGACAUCUGCGGGAGUAUGUCUGUAUGUAUGCAGAUCCUGAAACUCAAACAGAAAUGUCUGGUCACAUCCUGGAAGAAGACUUUAAUGUUACUGUGACCACAAAAGUAACAAGGAAAUAACAUUAGAGCGACAAUGGCAAUAAUAUUUUAUCCUAACAUAAACUCCAAUAAAGAAAUAAACUACAAACAAAUGAAAAAUGGAAGAAAUUUACCAGAAAGUUGAUACAGCUAUUGAACUGGAGUAUAUAUGUUAUUACAGAACAGAACAAGAGCAGAGAUUUAAGGAACAUGAAAGGAUAUAAGAAAAUUAAACAGAUGUUUGAGUGUCCAAGUUUAAAAAUGAAUUCCCCAAGUAAUGUGGUGUUGAUGAAAUGCAGUAUCUCCAGUGAAGGAUGCUGUUUUGUAAUGAGGAAAAAUAGGUAGUGGGUUGGGUGUGGACACAAGUAUGUGAGACAGGUUGUAGGACAAUGCUUUAAAGAAAACAAAUCACUUGCCAAUGUACUCGUUUUGAAUUGAAUUAACAAACAAUAACUACACAGCAUAAAAAUGAAAAAAAAAAAAGAUUAACUCCAGUGCUUCUAAGUGCAUACCGUUUACUGUCUUCAGGUUCAUCCAAGAAAUCUAAGAGAAGCCUUUGAGUAAUCACUUUCCGAUUAAACUCUUUUCCUGCAUCAUUCAAUCCAUAAUCAUGGUCAUCCCAUGUUCCAAUAACCUGCAAUUAGUGAAUUUCAGUAGUGACACCACACCAGUUUCUCAUCUUUCAGAAGAGGAAAGAAGAAGCAGUGUUGAAAACUGUCAAUAAACUGUAAUAAACGAAGAGACAAAGAUGACACCCUAGCCCACAAAUGGAGAUUAAAAGUCUAUCCAAAAUGCUUUCUUCUCUGCCAUAGAACCAACUCGGGAGUGGGGACUGGGGUGUGGAGUGCCAUAGAACCAAUCCAUAUAUUCGAUUUUAUGUACGUUUGUCAUUAUUGUAAUGCUGUAUCAUCAGCAUAUCCAUGCUACAUCUUAUUGUAGUAUCAAUCAAUAUAACCCUCAAAUCCCAUGAGGCCAUGACACGAAAGCUGACAAAGCAAUUAGUCAGGAGCAGCUGCGAUCGUCCAUGAGGGGAAGAAAGCAAAGGAGGCCAGGCCUGACCUGAGCGGUCUCCCUGAGCCUGGCGUACCCGGGCUGCGCCCUGGCGAGCUGGUACCGCCUCCGCAGCUCCUUCUCGGUGGAAGGGUAGAAGCGCGGCGCGUUCUUCCAGGGCCCCACGGUGCGCUCCUUUCCGAAGACCCGGAAUGGGCGCUUGUUGUCGCCGUAGACGUUGUCCCCGAGCCAGACGAACACCUGCGGGUCGAACCCCACGACGGCGUCCCAAAUGGGCUGCACGAAAGUACGAAACAAUCCCCGUCACAACGAAUUGAUCGAAAUGGGAAUGGGAUGCGCGGGCAUGGCGCCGGCGUGGGGCGUUCCGUCGACCACCUGGGGCUCGCUCUGGUUGGCACAGGAUCCGAAGGCGAUCCUGGACACCACGGCGUCGGGGUCGGCGCGGGCGGAUGAGGACAGGAUUAUCAGGAGGAGGAGGGAGAGGAGAGGGAAGGUGGCCGCCAUUGCGGGUAGGGAGAGCGACGUACGAGCAAGCGAGCACACGGCAGGCAGCGGGCGAGACGAGACGAGACGGCGAGGAGGAAUUCUCAAUUGCGGGAGGUUGGCAGGAGAGAGGUCAGAGGUGGGAUGGAUAUCCCAAUUUCCAAGGCGCCGGAUCCCAGGCAGGAGAGGCCGAGCCGAGGGAGAGGUGGACGUGUGGUGGUGGGGGCGAUGCCGAUGGCGAUGGCAGGCGCAGACGCACGCUCUAGAAGAGAGAGCGAGGAAGAAAAGCUGGAAGCUCCUUGUUUGUUUGGCCUCACUUUUUCACCAGUUUCGUUUUAAACUAAUUAUAUAUAUAUAUAUAUUAAUUAAUGCGGUGGAAUUGUGUGGAAAACUACGUGCGGUGGUGUUGCUCCUCUUCUAACCAUUCCUUGGUCAACAAACCACGCGACACGCCGUGAUGAUGUUUCUAGAUAGAGACAACAACAUGCAGGGAUUUGCAAAUGUACCUAUAUAUGCUGUUGCUAGCAAUUCGGGAUUUGGAAAUCGUGUGGUUCGUCAAGAACAAAAGACAAGGGGAUUGCAAAUCCUGCUUCAUUGUGAAUUGAUGAUCAUGUCUUUGCUUGCCUUACGACCUGUUGCGAGAAGGAGAGACUUGGUUGGGACGAAACUGCAGCAGCCUUUCCGGCAUUUGCAAAGGAUGGGAGCCAAAAAGGCGUGAUCCGGAGUGAAAAGGGCUGCCAACUUGCUCUGCCUAAUUUACGUUUCGCCUUUUGCUUGGGAACUUUGCCACAUGUGCUAGCAAGUUUGCCGCAAACUGCGAAAGGCAUCACGUAACGUUGCUGUUCAAACUGAAGUUUCCAUUUCGAGCUCGAAUAUUUCCAGAGCUGUCACGUCUGUGUUAAGCAGAGAUAAGCUAUCUUUUGCAGGGGAUCAGAACAGUACUCAUUCACUACCAUUGCAAUUAACAUGAGAGAACCUACCUCGGCACGUGGAGCGCUGAGCUUCAGCACGAAGCAAAUUAUCAGACUUUAAUACUUUAUGAACGCUGCAAAACCAGCCUGAGGCAUCUGAUUCCAACAAAUACAUAGCAGCUACAUGCUACUCGUAUUUUCUACCAAACAUUCCAGACCACAAGUGCUAACACAAACAGAUAGAAGAGUCAUGAAAGAAACUAUCCAGAUUCGGCCAGGUUGCCAAGCUGCAAGCCUGCAACUCCAUACAGCAAAGAGCCUGUUACAUAGAGUCAGGGCUCAGGAACAUAAUACAUGGUCAACGAAGUACCUACAUUACAUGUCAUCUAGUCUAGAUUCCAACAACAUAUUACAGCAAUUGUGUUGCAUCAGUUUAUGUUUCCCCAGAUGGCCUGCCCCGAGGUCACUUUGUUGCUUGGCCUUGCUGUCAAUUCAUAUAGGAUCCGAGCAAAUGUGUCCGAGUAUUUCCCUUCUGAUGUCAGGAUCUCAGCAAAAGUGUUCUCAUGCACAAGGAGAUGCAUCCUGUUUUGAGGCUCAGAGACAAGGCUCUCCAGUAUCAUCGACGUCUUCCUGCAGACCUCAGGCACCGGAUGCGGCGUCUUCACGAUCUUUAGGAGUCUAUCGACAGCCCUGGUUCAAUUGACAUCGAAAUGGUAAAUUUUACAGACUGUAAUGCCCCUUCUCUGAUAUUAGGAUGCUUUGUCUAAUUGUAUGAAGUAGACAUUUACCAUCGCUCACUGGCAAGCUUGAGCCUGCAAUCCAUAUUCACUUCGGCUACAUUGUAGAGUGCACUAACAGCAGCAGCCUGUGCAUCAUAUGCUGGUACACUCAAUAGGUCAACUAGUCGUUUGUAUAUCUGCAUCAAGUAAACCAAUGUAAGUACGACACCUAAAGAGCUGAGAAACAGAUAGCUUUAUUCAAAUCCAUCUGCAUACCAUAAUGGUACAACAGUAAAUACUACUAAAUGCAAAGAGUGAUCCAAAUUCCAAAAAUACAUUUACCUGUGGAAUGACAGGAAGAAGAAAUGGCUCAUUGUCUGGAUUUAUUAUCAGACGGCCAAUCAAUUCAGCAGCGGCACAGUGCCAUGGCUUCACGGAAGAAGAAAGCAUACCCAUUAUGGCAUGAACUGCACCUUUCUCACUAUCUUGGCAAAGAGCAGGCAAAUGAGUAAACCUCAAGAUAGAAAUGAAUCGGUAAAGAAUAAUGCACUUCUAGACUCAUCUUACGUCAUUUUAAUGAACGAUGGCUUUGAUGAGCUGAAGAUCCUCAGGUCCAACACAGGUGCUAAAUUGACAAGGGUCUCCACCAUGUUUGUUAUGAGCUCGUCAUCUUCUGUUCAAUGACAAAUACCAGUACAACUUGAGUUCUCAAUUAUGUAUUAAAGUCUGUCGGAAAAAAUAGCUGGAGAUAUGUCACAUAGCCCCAGGAUAAAUAGCUCACUCAAGUUACAGCAGAUAGUCGAAUAGGAGUACAAACAUACCAAAAAAACAUAUAACUUUCACAUCAUCAAUAUUUUGCAGAGUUAGACCAAACACAAAGUUAAAAUAGGAACCAUAAAUAGCCAGUUUCUUUGCCAAGCUUGUGGAGAACUGAGCAAUAGCUCGGUUGCAGAGCCUCCUGCCUGGCAGACUGGCACCUUAAGACAAAGCCAAGGGAAAGUCACCCCGUGGGGAUUUUUCGCAGAUUAAUAAACAACCUAGAUGGAGCAUAUGCAGGUAAUAAUUGGACAAAACAUAAACUGCAGAAAACUUGAAGAGCCAAACACAUUCACAUAGCCUCAUUUGAUCAUCACCAAGUUAACCUAUAAACCAAAAAAACAAAGACACAGGACUAUUUCAAUAUUUACCUCUAUUCUGGUCCUCUAAGCAAUGAAAUAUUGACUCCAAGCAAUGCCUAUGUUGAACCAUGAUAAUCUCAUUUUCUGGCAUAAAAGAGAAAUUGCGGAUUAUAUUGGAGGCUGCAAUAGCGCACUGCUGCCUUUCUGCCCUCCCUUCAUCAUCAUUGUUAAACAAGCCAUCCUCAUCAAACCAAAAGCUUGCAGCGCGCUUCUUCGUGACACUGGAGUCUUCCGUCUUUGAUUGAUCAUUAUUAGAGGUACUGUAAUUAACACAUUUUAUAGAGCAUAAGUAUGGCAGCAAGUGCCAUGGAUACUGAGAUGAGUUGUCAGGAUCUUGGUAAGACUAGUAACAACAUACGUGGCAGUGUCAGAGUAGACUUUUUCCAUGUUCUCCUGGCCAAAGCCCGAGAGUGUUGUGUUGGCACCCAAAGUUCUUACUCUGGGUGGUUUCAGAUGGUCCUUAGGCAUUGAAAUAUCUCUCCAUUCAUCAAUCUGCACAAAAUAUCAAAGCAUAAGACAGAAUGCAAAAGAAAAAUGAUGGUAGCUUCUUUUAGAGGAGAUACCCUGGCACAUUAGUAUGUUAUUACUUAGCUAGAAUUUAAUUUGGUAUAAGAAACAUAUGAAUAAGAUGAGAUGAGAAAGUGCUUGGGUGACCCAGUAAUAAUUGGACCUCUUCUGACUUUAUUAGGAAGAAGCUUAUUGUUAGCUAUCAACAAGACAGACUCUUCCACAGUUAAAUCUAUCUGACGCAUUCCCUCUUUCUCUCCCUCUCUCAUCUCCAUGUAAAUGAUGUGACUGCCACAUGACAAAAAAAAAUGUUGUCGCUACAAAAUCACCAAAAAAUACCUAAACUCGUCCGAGGGCAUGGUUUACACCUGUUUUAUAUGAUUCUGGACAAAAAAGGGUGAACCCUUGUAGGAUAUGGGGAGAACUCUAGGCAGCCUUAUCUUUGAUCUCUUUUUUUUGCAACAUGUAGGAUAAAAUUUAGAACAAGUGAAGGUUUGGGAUUUGGGAAUCAUUAGAUGACCUUUUUUCCUUUGUAUUAUGGCUACAAACCUACAGUGGGCAAUGGUGCAUUGGUGCCAUAUCAUAGUAUGCAUGAGGUCAUUACCACUUUCUUCAAUGUUUCAUGUUGAACGGUGAUGCUAACUUGAUUAAAUCUAGUUCAAAUGCAUCCUAAUGCAAAUAAAACUAGCACUCAUUAACUCCUUAGCCAGACAGGACAAAGAUUAUGACAAAAAAAUUAAAAAAGGAAAUUGCAUGGUUUAGUAAAAGAUACAUCAAACUGGAAAGUAAAAAGGGAGACAUACAACUUGAAGAAGAGCAUCUAGGAGCCCAGGAACUUUAGCAAGAGGUGUUGUAUCACGUCGUUGGUCGUCUUUCUCCUUAAAUGAGAGUACUGUAAGGGCAUUCAGUGCCCACAGUAUCUCUGACUUCAACCCACUUUGCAAUGCAAGGACAAUUCUUUUGUUGUUCUGAUCUGUCAAAUAGCCAAUCCUGGAAACCGUUAUUACAAUAUGAUUACUUGUGCAGUUUAAGCACAUGAUGAAGAACAUGAGAUAUCAUCUCUAACAAACGGGAUAAAACAAGAGGACAAUAUAGACUCUAUGCAUCUUAAAUAUAGAGAGCAGGAUCACAAAAGAAGGUGGUCAUAAUUGUAGCAUGCCAUGAUUUGUCAGCUGUACAGAAUAGCUGUUUCCAUGGGAAAAUAAAAACAUGUACACACAUUAUAAAUCUGUAUAGUAAAAGUGCUUGGCUGCUUGCACCUACAUACACUUUCAAGCAAGGAUAUGUGCACAAGUAUAAAAAUAUCUAAGUCCAAUCUUAGUCAUCACAUAGAAACUCAGCUCUCAUUGAUAGGGCUCCAAUUCACAGCACCACACCAGAUAUGGAAUUUGUCAACCAAAUUAAAGUGGUUUAGAUAUUUAUAUUUACUCUAGAAUAGAAACACGAUGAUACAAUACAACCAAGUAGUCUCAGUGUAUUCCAGUUCCAGUUUCAUGUAUUUUAGAGCAAGGAAUACCCAACCUCAACAACUCCUGGAGCUGGAGCUGUGCCAUAAAGGUUUGGCAGCCAUGCAACAGAAAUCAUUACAGCUAACUUGGCUUGCAACACAAUUCAAACUGGAAAUGAAGCAUAUUACAAACUUCUAAGAAUAAAAAAGAAAUGGAACUGAAAAAAAAAAAGUCUAAACUGGAUAUUAAGGCCAGAUUCAAAGUCGUUUGGAACUCUAUAACCUAAUCCAGGCCUGAAUUAUGUGUCUAAGUAUUGGAGGUGGAGCAGUGGUCUGAAAGAUAGCCCGUUAGUGUUCUAUUGUAUCACACUGAUUUGAUAAAGGGUUCAGUUGUGGGGUCAAACUUUUAUCAUUAUGUGCAAACUUUGCUACUCUGCGGACUGUUUCAAGAGUAUGAGCUGGGAUCUGAAGGGAGCAGAAAGUUAAGCUAAAUUAAAUGGUAAAUGCACUGUUUUAGUUUGCAUGACUGUGAUGGUUAAGAUUUUAUUUGACAGUCUACACAAUAACACAACGGUUUUGCAGUAAUACCUCAGCAUAGUGGCUUUGCCAACAUAAGACAACAUGACAAUGAUGUUGUUUCUGAGAAAACAACAAACCACAACAAACUGACCCCAGAUCCCCCCAUAAAACGUGCACUCAGAUGCGAAAAUCUUGGACCCCAACGCAUUAUGCCUCCAAUGUCAAUACCAAGCACAUAAAAAUUAAACUGACGUCUCCAGCUCCAGCUGAAAGAGAGGAUUAUUCAAAGUCUAAAGCCCCCAAUUUGCAUCUGACAACUCUACCCUAAGGAACAGAGGCAAGAGCAAUAAUUCAGAGUACCUACCAACACCCCAGUUCAUCAGUCUCCAUGCCCUAGAAACCCAUAUAGGCUCAGAUGAACUGCAGAAGCAGACGAAUGGGCGAAUUACCUGACAGGGCUGAUAGGACUUGGAGGGACGGCCCAACCAGCGCGGCGGACGCACCCGGGUCGACGACCGCAGCCGCCGCGGCAGCGGCCGCGGCUCCGCCGCCGGUGGUGCUCCCGAACGGGCGGCCGCGCUUCGCCGGCGUGCCUCCACCGGUCCCACCAGACUUGCCUGACUGCUUCUGCAUAGCUAGGGUUUUGGAGCUCGGAGCUUGGAGGCGGAGUGAUCGAAAACGUCGUGGUCGGAGCUCGGAAUUGGGUGGGCAGUUGGGCACUGGCGCACCGCGACGGAGGCAGACAAGGGUGGCCGCAGGAUCUUUACUCGGAUGGUGGAGAUUGAACGGACUGCUUGCCGUUGCUCUACAGAUCUGGCUAUUCAGGUCGGCCCGAUGGCAGUCCCAACUCCAAACCUAAAGUCUGUUUUUUUCCUUAAUAGGUAAAUGUCCGUGCGUUGCUACGGGAAUCUUAAAAUUUUCAAUACAAUUUAACACAAUAAAAGUAGAAAAAAAUAGCAGGUUAAGAGCUUAAAUUUUCAACACAAUAAGAGUAUCAAAAAGUAGUAGAUCAAAAUAAAGACAAAUAAUUUUUUAACUUGCUUGGCAACAUAAUGUUUUGAUCCACAUUUAAAUAAAUAAAUGUCAAAUUUAUUAACAAUAUCAAAAUAAGCGUAUGAUAGAUAAAUCCUCCACUCUCUUUCAUUGUCUUAUCCCCGUUAUGCAGGUAAGAUAUUCUCGUAUGAAUAGAGGACUAACGCGCCACUGUGAAUUCCCAUCAUAUGCCAAUGCCCGUAUAUUGCUAUGGGUGAAAUCUUAUAUUAAUUCAGUUUAUUGCUCCAAUAAAAAAUUUUCAAAAAGAUGUUGACGUCAAUAAUGAAGAUAAAGCGAUAUAUGAUUUAUUUUUGCAUCACCGGUAUAAGUGGAAAUGAAAUAUUAAUCAAACUUAACUAUACAAGGCAUGCAUAUCAACAAAAUGCAGCAUUGUUGAAAUGCGCGUACGUUUGCAACGGGGAGAUAUAAUGCUAUGAUAAUAUGAAUAUGAAUGUGUGUUGUAUUGUUAUCAGAAAAAAAUAAUACUUCGAGCAUGACGGUUCUCGGAAGUUUGGAGUUCAAAGGGCAAUAAUACAAUAUACAACUCAACACCGGUAUCACAAUGCUCAACUCAAACAACAACAGAGUGAACCGAGAAGGAAAUAUUGUAAUUUAACACAAAGGAUAAUGGUGCAUGCAGUGAAAGUCUCCCGUCUCCUCCACGGUUGAGUCCUAACCCUUGCAAGUUGCAAGUGGUAAUACUCCCAUGCAGUCUUCAAAGUAUCAAUUGCCUUUAUAAUCCCACAUCCAACCUUGAUUAUGUCACUACCCUAUAGUUUAUCAUCUGAACUGCAAAUCCAAGAUGCAAGUGACAUGGUGUAUCAGAUAAUACAAAGGUUAUAGAAAAAAAAUAAUAGCUCAAAUCCUUUUGAGCGCUAAAGGCAAGAGAACCUACAACUGAACCAUAAAUCAAAAUUUGGACAUAAGAGAUGGUAGCAAAAAUCCUGAAUAUGCCAGAGAUGCUGUGCAACAAGAUUCUAAUUUUAUUAUGAAAAUGGUGAAUAGUACGAAAUGCAGUAAAUGCUGGAGACAAGCAGCUAACCCCUACUGCUAUUGCCGGAUCUGUUGAUAGUUGGUUACUGAAAUUCAGAGAAAGCGAAAGCUUACUAUAGCAUGUCCAACAACGGUCGGAUGCACCUGGAAACCUCCCCCAUUAGACAUGCUGAAAAUCAACGUAGAUGGUGCUUUUGCCCAAGCUAACAGAAAGGGGGCUAGGGCUUCAUAUAAUGUUAUGAUCAUACAAGUGAUGGUGUUCUAGCAGGUGCAGGCAAUGUAUCGGCUCAUCAAGGCAAGGACUUAGUAUUGGUUCAUCACACAGUUUUGCAGUGAAGUGAGUCACUGCUUCUAAUAGCUUGUCAUGCUCUAAUCUGAAUUUUCUCUCUAAGCAAAUGUUUUUCUCUGAAACUUAUCUCAAAACAAAGGUCUGAAGAUCCAAUUUUCUCCCUAGAAUCUAAAUAACGUCCAUUCACAUUCUUUCAUAACUAUAUUAGGACUUGUUGUUUAUCUGAUGAAACUAAAAAUUCUGAACAUUGUCCAGUAACCCAAAACAAUGGAUCAAUUUCAGUACAUGUAGUUUAUCUGCUAAUUAAUUCAACAAUUCAAUAUGAGAUGAGAUCCGUCAUGCUGGAGCUUGGUGUAGUGUAGUGUAGGCAGAGAGAUAGAUUCAUAUGAGAUGAGAUCGAUAAGUACUCCAAGUUCAAGAUAGGAUGAUUAUUAGUCAGUAUACAUACCACAGGCUCAUAGCUUAAACGCAGGCGCACCAACCUUUCGAUGUGAGGGCGAGGCUCCAGCUGCAGUUGCAGCUUCAGGUUCAGGUUCAGGUUCAGGUAGGGAGAAACCCAUGGCAGCGGCAGCUGCGCGCACCGGCACCAGCCUUUCCACAGCUUUCCUUUCUUUUCGGCUGUUGCUGCCACCGUGGAGGGUCCACCUCCCGUUACUUUCUCCUCCCUCCCAUUCAUUAUUACCAACCAACUAACCCAUCACCCAUCAUGAGGAUUGACGAUUGAGGAAGAGGAAACAUCUCGCACAGCACAGCACAGCACAACAGUAGAAUACGGCAAAUCUGCAUCUCCGGCUCCAAGCUUGUGUUUCUCCUGCUGCUUUGCGCCAUGGUGCUGCCGACAGGCAUAUCCUCUGCAAAGAUCCAUGGUAAAAUCAAUCAAUAUCGAAUCUCAGAGUCCUACUUGGUUGUGCUCAAAUUGAUUUGCCAGCGCUUGUGCUUUGUGCUUGCUCAAAUUGAUGGCGAUGGCGGUCGUGGCAAGGAACCCAACCAACAACCUUGUGGCCCUCAUCAACGGCAGGAGGGCGGUGAGCAAGCUGCCUGCGCUGUGCAACAGCAGGGGCCUCGGGUGCAUGACGCUGCAGUACAUCUCCGAGUGCAUGUCCACGGGCCCGCCGCCGCCUGCAGCAGCGGCAACAGCAACACGGUGGUGUGCCAGCCUCCCGAGACACACAUCACGGAGGUCUUCGCCGCCAACUGCGGCGUGGAGCUCCCCACGGUGGACGUCAUCUCCGGCUGCCACAAGGACCGCGAUGGACCGGAGGAUGCGCUGCAGGCCGUGCUGGCAGCAGCCACCGGCAACAGCAGCACCAAUGCCACCCAGGCAGCCGCGCUGGCGGUGAUCCGCGGCAAGGAGCACACCCAGGUGGGCGCCGGCUUCGAUCGGGCGCACCGCCGCAGACCCUUCUUCUGGUGCCUCUUCUUCAGCAGCGGCAGCGCCAACUCCACCUUCCUGCUUCAGCGCUCCAGAUCGACCCUCGUGCAACGCCGCGCCGCCGCGCGCCGGACACCUCGCAGUCACGCACAGAGAAGGGGAGUGGGCGAUGGGUGAGAGGAAGCUAGACACAGAUAGCCGGCUCACUAUUGUUGGGCGAGGGAGAGUUGAGAAGGAGGUUGGAGCGAGGGAGAGCUGGGGAGUCGCGCCGUUGAGUCCUGGAGGGAGACGCGGGGAGUCAGGUGCGGGGACGGGGCGGGGCGAGGCGAAGGAGCGUUGUGGACGAUUGCUUUUGCUAUGUAUUAGUUGUAGAGAUUUGAUAAAUUUUAACUUCAAUUGGCUAAUAACUCAUAGCUGAAAGUACUCUUUACUGAUUUGUUAUGAGAGAAAAACACUAUUGAAUAGCUGGCAGAUUCGGCAGAUAAGCUUAAGCGAACAGACUUGAGUCGAUAGUCGUGCAUUUUUAGCAAUUUUGCAAACUUGUAGUCUUCUUUCUUGAGUGAUUUUCAUCAGUUUAGGAGAUUAAUGGCCGCAAGGACCAAUGCCCAGGGUGUAUGUGUGGAGAUCCCACAUAUAUAAAAUCAACAAGAGUUUGAUUAUCAAUAAAUAGCAUCACCUUCUGAGUAUAGGUUGCAGCGCUUCUCAGCAACUAUUCACUGAGAAAGUCAUAGCUGAAAUUACUAUUCGCUGAUUGUUGUAAGGUAAAACACUGCUUAAUGGCUAGCAGAUUUGGCAGAUAAACUCAAGCGAACAGGCACGUAAGUCAGGGGGUUCAUUCGCUUCUGCUUGAUAGUCAUUGCGGCAGUGGUAGUAGUUAUCACUAUAGUAGUAUCGAUGUCUGGACUAGCGGUCCUGACGCUAACAAGUAAAUUUGUGUCUGCGUGCCCAUUUACCCAGAUGGUGAUGCAAGAAGGACACGAGAUGUUUAUACUGGUUCAGGCCGGAUGUGCCCUACGUCUAGUGUGAUGAGGAGAUUCGUGUUAUCUUGCGCCUGAAGUGCUCGUAGUAGGGGUUAUAAGCUGGCUACAAGAGAGAGUACGUCGCAGGUCUCGACUUUGUGUGUUCUAGUGGGAUUGUCUAUGUGUGUGUUGUUCCCCCUUGAAUGGGACCCUGCCUCCCCUUUUAUAGUCUCAAGGGGAGACAGAGGUUACAUAUGUUAGUGCUAUGGUACCACGGCCUUAGUUCGAGGCAUGAGUUAAGGUAUGGCGUUAUGAAGUGACGGUGAGGUGCUUCAUUCUUGAUGCUGUAGUUGAUUGUGAUCGUGGUAUGGGUGCUCCCGUUGUUGUAGUGUUAGUGCGGAGCCAUGUCGGUUCAAGGGACAAGAUGUUUUGACCCUUGUUCAUUCUCCUAUGUUGAGUUCUAAGGCUCUUUCCCUUCGGUUUAGGGGGCUCUGUUGAAGUCGUGGCUACAACGGCUAGGAUUGACCCACCCAUUACCCCUGACGCGACUGUACGCAUAGUGACAGGGACAGGUGGCAUAGUUUCGGUCAUGUCCUGUACCGUGCGACGUGGGUGGGGACGUGUCUUGCAUCUUAUCCACCGUACUGUGGUGCUUGGCGUAUCUGAGAAGCCUCGAGCACUUCGUUGGGAGUGGGGCGCCCGAGGCUGGACUCGAGCGAGACAGAGAAUACCCAAGGCUUCGGUUAGACCUCGGGCGAGAUGAAAGUUGCACGAGGCUUGGCCUCGGGUGAGACGGACAUCGUCCUAUAAAAAUCUGAGGCUUAGUUUGGUUUUUAUUGGGGUGCCUUUCCACUGACCCAUUUGCCCUUAUUGUUAUUUAAUUUUGAAAAGAAGAUUAGGGUGCUCAUGACCUCAAUUUGAGUACCCUAGUUUAUGAUAUCCAAUAAGUAGAUAACAGUUUUUGGGUCAAAACCACGGCCAUAGUUAGCGUUAAAGUGCAUUUAAACAGACCACUAGUUUCUAUACCGAUGAAUGUUUUCUUCAAAAGUAACCUAAUUUCUAUAGUAUUACCAAGGCCAUAUUUGAUAUAACUUAUAAGCUGCCUAUUGUUACAAAAGGUUGAGAUUAAAACUAAACUGUAUGUAUUUUUAACGUUUUUUCUGACUAUAUUUUUCUCCAUGCACAACACUCUUUUGUACUAAAAAGUAGAAGCUGAGUCCGACCAAUUUAUUUGUAGCUACUCUUUUGCUUUAUUUGUACAGAUUCUCGUAGAAACAUUUUUUUUAUUGCUAUACCCAACAGUGCCUAAGAGCAUCUCCAACAGUUUUACAAUUUAUUUUUGACUAAACAUAGAGUUUGUUAAGUCUUAAAUUAAUAUAGUGAGAAGAAAAAAAGUUUACCUCCAAUGGUUUGACAAAAUUGACUUGGCAAAACCCAAAGUGUGGACCUAGCGAUUAUUUUUUCAGGCGAAAAUUUUCUUCGCGUCAUCAACUCGGUCGUGCGUCUUUCUUCGCGCGCUAUUCCUGGCGCCGCCGCCUUCCAGUUCCCAGUCGUGUGUGCACUUGAAGGAAGAGAAUAGAUCAAGGUGGAGAUUGCAUGCAGCCGCCAGGGCUUCUUGGAAUGCAGUUAGCGUACUAGAAGAUCAGGGCGACGGAGACGGCUUUAGCCAGGUCGGGCUAAAUCAGCUAGCCACCGGGGGUUGCUGUUGUUGUACUCUAUAGCGUCGUCGCCAUAUCCUCGUCCUGGACGAAAUCCAUGUUGCCGACGACUCCACCAAGCAGGCUUGCGCUGCGGAACCGAAAGAUCGCGGCCUCCAACUUUCCACGGGAAGAAAACGGCGGCGGCAGGGAAACCACACGUGGGGAAGGAAAACACGCAGGGUUAUACGAUGCCAAGCGCAAUACACGGUUGGCAUAUAUGCCAAACCUAGCCAGGAAUUUACCAAGUUAACAAAAAUGCAAAGCUCAUUUGCCAAACCAUUGAAUAUAAAUUUUUAAGACUUUUUUGCAAAAACAAAAAUAAAAAGCCGAUUUGCAAAAUCGUUAGAGAUGCUCUAAGGCCUUGUUCAGUUCUAGAAAAUUUUUGAUUUUGGCUACUAUAGCAUUUUCAUUUGUAUUUGAUAAAUUUUAUCUAAUCAUGGACUAACUAGGCUCAAAAGAUUUAUCUUAUAAAUUACAGGCAAAUAUGUAAUUAUAUUUUGUUUUCAUCUAUAUUUAAUGCUUCAUAUAUACGUCCAAAGAUUUAAUGUGACGGAAAAUCUGCAAAAGUUUUGGGAACUACCUAAGUCAGGCCUUGUUCAGUUUGGGAAAUUUUUUGGAUUUUGACACUGUAUCACUUUCGUUUUUAUUUGACAAACAUUGUCCAAUCAUGGAGUAACUAGACUCAAAAUAUUCAUCUCGCGAUUUACAGAUAAACUGUACAAUUAGUUUUUGGUUUCAUAUAUAUUUAACGCACCAUGCAUGUGCCGCAAGAUUCGAUGUGAUGGGGAAUCUUGAAAAUUUUUGGUAACUGCCUCAAUGGAUUCACUCGUAGUACUAUCUACAGUGCAGUCAGGAUGGUUGGGUUGUGCAUUGUAUGUUUGUUGUUAGUAAAAAAACAUUAACUAAAGAAAAAAAAAAGAGCUUGGUGAGAGGAGGUCAGUGAGUGAACCAAACUGUAGCUGUGUGAACAAGGCCUCAAACAAAGCCUCACCAGGCCCUCCUGCCCUCCAGUGGCUGGAGUGACAGGCGCGCGCCACCGGGCCUGGCAGCGCUCGUCGAGGCUGCGUUCCUUUCUAAACUGGGUUGCUGUGCCUUCGAUUACCGGUACGGCACUACUAGAGAGCGUGGACAAUAACGUGGUUUUUUUAAUUUUUAUUUAUUUACGUGAUGGCCAUGCACGAGAGCAGUCUAGGCACAGGAGGGCCCAUCACGCAAAAAAUCUCGUGCCUUCCUGUUUGGCCUUCUUUGUUGAAAAAAAAUUAUGGUUUUUCUCCCUCGACUAUCACAAAAGUUUUAUUUUUCUCCCUCAACUCUAAAAUCGGAUAAACCACCUCCCUCAAUUUUUUAAACCGUGUAUUUUAGCUCUCUAGAGUGGUUUAGAGUGGUUUCGAAGGAGGCUACAGUAAAGGGUGGUUUUGCAACAGUAAUGAUGGUUUUAUCUUUUUUUUAACUAUUUCAACUGAAUUUUCAAAAAUCAUAGUAAAUCACUAAAAAAUAUAUAAUAGAAAAUUUAAUUUUUUUUGGACUCCACAUAAGUAGAUCUACAUAAUAAACAUAUAAUAUGGUAUGUUUUAGUAUAAAGUUUUAGCUAUAAAGGGUUUGUCUUUUUAUUUUUAAUUUCUUUUGGCUAAAUAUUUGAAAAAUCAUAGUGAAUUACAGGAAAAAUAUAAAAUAGAAAAUAUAAUUUUGUUAGACUCUACAUGAGCAUAUUUACACAAUAAAUAUAUAAUGUGGUAUACUUUAGUAUAAAUUUUUUGUUGUACCUCUAGAUCUAUGCUUUUCUGUAAUUAAUUGAAAUAUUUCAUAGUUGUAGCUUUUGUAGUUAUUUUGUCGGACUAAAGCAUACAUAUAUUAUAUGUUUAUUGUGUAUAUAUACUCACGUGGACUCCAAAAAAUUAGAUUUUCUAUUUUUUAUGAUUUACUAUAAUUUUUCAAAGAUUAAGCCAAAUAAAUAAAAAAAGAAAAAAAUACUAAACCUUUAUAGCAAUAACUUUGUGUUAAAGUAUACCGUAUUAUAUGUUUACUGUAUAGAUCUACUUACGUGGAGUCUAAAAAAAUUAGAUUUUCAUUUUAUGAUUUACUAUGAUUUUUUAAAGAUUUAGCCGAAAUAAUUAAAAAGAAAAAAGACAAAACCAGCAUCACUGUAAGAAAACCACCAUUCACUAUAGCAAAACCGACUUCGAAACCGCUCCAGGGAGGUAAAAUAUACAGUUUGAAAAAGUUAAGGGAGGUGGUUUGUCCGGUUUUAAAGUUGAGGAAAAGCCGAAUUUUAUAAAAGUUGAGGGAGUCUCAAGUUACCGGCAAAAACCCAACAUCGACUGUACGCAUGCGCAGGCCAGCAGGACAGAGAACUCAAUGUGGCAUGCGUCGAUCACAGGCACCGCGCCUCACGGGCGGGUCCGUGAAGCCGCCUUGGCCAAGAAAGGUGCCAAGAAACAGAGGUGGUUGUGAGCAUCCACUGGUGUCAAGAACCCUGCUUGAAUUAGCAUUCUUAGGGGAUGUUUAAGACCGCUCCACGAACUCUGCUUCACAAACUGCAUUGUGGAGUAGCUCCACAAAAAACUGAAGUUUAUGGAGCAGCUCUUUAGAUGCUCUUACAACUCCACUCCUUUUUUUUUUGUUGAACUGGGUUCGUGGAACUGAAACCGUUUAGCUAAAAAAUAUGAAGCGGAGCUGAAAAAUGUGGAGCAGAGCAGUCCCAAACACCCCUUUAACUUCACAAAAAGUAAUUCUGGAGUGAUGCACUUUCAGGAUCAACACGAUGUCCAACCAAGCUUUGCGGCCGGGCAUUCAUAGACCAUGGCAGUAUGGCACUAUAUUCCCUUACCCGAUGUGAGAUCAUGUAAAUACAGCUUACGAACUGAUGAUAGAUAAUUAGCGAUUAGCCGAUUAUGAUCUCUGUUCGAGAUGUGAAAACUAGAAGAGUGCAGAACCAUCAGUAGUUUUAUACCUUUCCAAAGUUUGGGCAUGUAUAUAUCACUUCUCCAUCCAUUCAGAAGUACAACCAAGACGAAAAUGGUGACAGCACUUAGUUACAAGUUUUUGGAUUGCCUGGUGUAUACUCUGCACAAUGAAUUAAUCAUAAUGAAUUGGUGAAAAAAUGUUCAGACACCAAGAUAAACUGCUUAGGAAAAUUUUAUUUGAACACAAACCUUCCAUACAGGUAGGGCAGACAUCCUCAACUUCUGAAGCUAGACAGCUCAUAGCUGCUACUACAUAUAAACUUUUGCAGACAAAACUCCAAUAGUCGAUUCAGAACGAUGGACCUUAUAUUCAUCCUCAUUUUCAGUGUUGCAUCACUGAAUAAGAUUUUUUCAUAGUAUCACCAAAUUACUAAAUCUACGUUUGCAUGUAUGUUGAAGUAAAGAACAAAAAAAAGAGUUGGUGAGAGGGGUUAGUGAGUGAACCAGAACAACCACACGGGACUAAUCCCGCAUGGAAACCCAAGGAGAUGUACUAAUAGGCCUAUAAAUGAUGGACACUAGAGCCCAGCAUCUAGGAGGCCUCCAAAAUGCUGGGGAACCUAGGCCCGACCUAUCGCCGUUUCGGCGGCGAGCUCCACAGGCCAAUUGCCCGUGUCGAAGACACGGUUGAGCUCUGGCUCCAACUCACAACCCAGGCUGAGGCCCAAAUAUCAAUUCAUUCCAUUUCGAUUCAUGUUCCUCCCGCAGCUGGCCCAGCACUUUGUCACUGCACCAACUCUUUUGCCCUCCAGUGGCUGGAGUGACAGGCCCGCGCCACCGGACCUGGC
Molecule: long non-coding RNA, 23609 nt
Filed under: Sorghum bicolor (sorghum)
Lineage: Eukaryota; Viridiplantae; Streptophyta; Magnoliopsida; Poales; Poaceae
Description: long non-coding RNA (SBIC_LNC007271)
Source: RNAcentral